This 29-nucleotide non-coding RNA is filed under the name Rattus norvegicus (Norway rat). Lineage: Eukaryota; Metazoa; Chordata; Mammalia; Rodentia; Muridae. The record is from RNAcentral.
UGAUAGGACCAUGGUCACUUGGAAACUAC